CCCACCUGAUCUUGCCUCCUUCCAACUGCCUUCCAUUUUGAAGACGUGUAUUUUCAUUGUUAAAGGGGCCACGACAUGAUCUGAUCAAAUAUAAUGGAUCAUCUGUGAUUUAGGGCAGAAGAGGAGGAAUUGGAAUUGGGCCCAGGGUUCUGCUGAUUGGUUGAGGCUACGUGAGGUCAGCCAGGUGUAGAUCAUUUGGUGUAGAUCAAGUCCCAUUAAAAACUCCAUAAUGUGCACAAGGUAGACUGCUAGAUUAUCAAUCAUCUUUUUCAGAAAAAAAUAAUCAGGGAAGACGUCACAUACCUGUAGCGGUAAAUGGAAGUUGUUGCUAUGGUGACGGUAGGAUGCAACAAGCAUGAGUACCUGUUAAGUUCAACAUCGCAUGAGGAGUACUCAGAUGACGAGGUGGCGGUGGAGUUCAUCACCCAUGAUGCCCUGUCGAGAUCAAUAUCACCCGAGGAGUACUCCGACGAUGAGAUAUCAACCAAGAAGGCGACGCAUUGGAGACUUGGACCAGCGGAUCACUGUGAUACUAUUCCCUACACGGGCAACUUGAACCAUAGUGUUGCUGUUCGCUUUGACUUUGAUAAUACUGUUCUGUAUGACUUUGACAUGGACCGUGAUACCCAGGAGGAGGAGAUGGUGAAGUCUGCCGAGGAUGAAGUGUCCUGUCGAGUACACAGAUACAGGUUGUGUAGUAUGGAUAGACCCUCUGUUGGCUGAUUGUGGGAUGUGUUGUGGCUGUUUUUUAAAAUAUUUUUUUACAUAUGUAAUGUCUAAAUAUCUUUAUGAAUGAUUAAAAUUGAUUAUUAUUAUUUGGGCUUUUAUUCAACACUAUAUUCGAUCCAAUCCAGGCAAAGUCUUAUUCUAGCAGGUAACCUAAAACAUUUCAUAAGAUUGACAAAUGUAAUAAAAAGUCAUCUCUAAACAUAAUGUACACCUGGAGAUUACCCUACAAGAGACUACCUAGUAAAGCUAUUUUAAGGAUUGAUCGUUUAAAAAAAUAAUAAAUAUAGUGGUUUUAUUAUUUAUUGGCUCCUUCUGUAGUAUCAUGCUUAUUUACACAGUACACUUAGUGACAGAAUAUGGAGAACGAACAGAG
Long non-coding RNA from Oncorhynchus tshawytscha (Chinook salmon), 1102 nucleotides. The record is from Ensembl. Lineage: Eukaryota; Metazoa; Chordata; Actinopteri; Salmoniformes; Salmonidae.